UGGAGCAUGGCCAAGGGGUUAAAGCAUCGAUUUUUGACAUCGUUAUCUGAGGUUCGAAUCCUCAUGUUCCAA
RNAcentral lists this transfer RNA (72 nucleotides) under Haptophyceae sp. NIES-3900. RNAcentral describes it as "tRNA-Gln". It matches the Rfam family "tRNA". Rfam says of the family: Transfer RNA (tRNA) molecules are approximately 80 nucleotides in length. Their secondary structure includes four short double-helical elements and three loops (D, anti-codon, and T loops). The record is from RNAcentral. Lineage: Eukaryota; Haptophyta.